This is a long non-coding RNA of Glycine soja, 877 nucleotides long. RefSeq lists it as uncharacterized. Lineage: Eukaryota; Viridiplantae; Streptophyta; Magnoliopsida; Fabales; Fabaceae. The transcript has 3 exons. The record is from RefSeq and is a predicted model, not a curated record.
CUCAAUUAUGGCCACAAAGUUCUUGAAAUAUCUAACUCUUGGUGGUUCGAUACAAUUUCUUAACCUUUCUGGUGCUACAAGGAAAGGAUUGUUUGUGAUGUGUAUUUUGGUUAUACCAAGGUUGAUCGAUUCCCUUUAGAAUGCAUUUGAAAUUAUUGUUAAAAAUGUAAGCUCCACUACCUACGGCUACGUAUAAUAAACAAAUGCAUAACUCGCAAACAAUCCUUUUCUUGUUGGAGUGUUGAAGAAAUUAUAUAGUACUAGUGGAAAGACCUGCACCUGCAGAUGGAACUUGGAAUCUUUGAGAAACUCCAAAACCCAGAUUAAAGCUUCCUUAGACCUUACCAUUGGAUUGCCUGCAUCAAUCAUGGAGACCAAAACUGCUGAUCCAUUAUUUUCUGUCCAAACUAUGAAAGAACUGGGAACACGAAAGGGGUUGGUGAAGGUCAUGUUUCUAUUUAUUUGGUGCUUAUGGACUCAAGUUCGUUACCUGCUGAUUGGGAGGUCAAUGCAAUUGCAAAUUUUUCUGCAUAUAAUUUCAUUGACGACGAGUAUGUUACUACUCAAGAUACAAAUGUAAGCGUUUCCAUGUGCUGAGAACUGAGUGGGGUGUCACAAAAUUCAUUGACAUAGACACAAACCCUUCAAAUGGAUUAUCUGAUGGACGAUACCUGUGUGUUUGGAGCUGAGGUUUUCGUUGCCAAGACCACGAAUAAAGGCGAUUGUUUAUCUAUGAUUCAUGGUUCUAUCCCUCUUACCCAUAGUUGGAAAUUUAAUAGCUUUUCCUUGGCAAAAUCAGACAAGUACGAAUCUGAAUCAUUUGUCGGUGGAAACUAUAAAUGGUAUAUAUACAAAUACUUUUAAGUUUCAACUUUCU